CAUUUUCCACUGAUUGACGGAUUCCUGGCUGGUGACACUUCUAGAGUACGUGUAUUCCUUGAGACAAGUAGCUUUAGUUCAUAUCGUGCUUCAUUUCGUCUUUUGUCCGAUUUAAAGGCGAUGUGAGAAAGUGGCUAUAAGAUAUUAGUGAAGCCAUCCCUUGCACGGUUGCCAAGUUUUUACUUUGCAUGUCAUGUGUCAAA
Non-coding RNA from Pelobates cultripes (western spadefoot toad), 203 nucleotides. Lineage: Eukaryota; Metazoa; Chordata; Amphibia; Anura; Pelobatidae. The record is from the annotation of a GenBank genome assembly.